GGAGGAGAAGUCUAGCCAGGUUUGACGCCUCGCUCAAGACGAGGCGGCGCCCACACGCCAUGCGAGUUCGAAUCUCGCCUCCGCCG
RNAcentral lists this transfer RNA (86 nucleotides) under Candidatus Woesearchaeota archaeon. RNAcentral describes it as "tRNA-Leu". It matches the Rfam family "tRNA". Rfam says of the family: Transfer RNA (tRNA) molecules are approximately 80 nucleotides in length. Their secondary structure includes four short double-helical elements and three loops (D, anti-codon, and T loops). Further hydrogen bonds mediate the characteristic L-shaped molecular structure. tRNAs have two regions of fundamental functional importance: the anti-codon, which is responsible for specific mRNA codon recognition, and the 3' end, to which the tRNAs corresponding amino acid is attached (by aminoacyl-tRNA synthetases). tRNAs cope with the degeneracy of the genetic code in two manners: having more than one tRNA (with a specific anti-codon) for a particular amino acid; and 'wobble' base-pairing, i.e. permitting non-standard base-pairing at the 3rd anti-codon position. Lineage: Archaea; Nanobdellati; Candidatus Woesearchaeota. The record is from RNAcentral.